This is a non-coding RNA of Arachis ipaensis, 207 nucleotides long. The record is from RefSeq and is a predicted model, not a curated record. NCBI's taxonomy places the organism in Eukaryota, Viridiplantae, Streptophyta, Magnoliopsida, Fabales, Fabaceae.
UUUUUGCAAUAGGUGUGGAACAUGGAAAUGAGAUAAACUCUGCAGUAGUUGCAGACAAGUGCGGUACUGCUCUGAGAAACACCAGGUGAGGGAGAACUUAGUAUUAUAUUUAAUUCUGCUUCACUGCUUCUACCUCGCUGCUUCUGCUUCACUGCCUUGGCUGAUUGUGGGUUGUCAUCUGUGGUAAGUGGUCUUUUUCUGAUUUUC